Molecule: ribosomal RNA, 703 nt
Filed under: uncultured eukaryote
Lineage: Eukaryota
Description: bacterial SSU rRNA
Rfam family: Eukaryotic small subunit ribosomal RNA
Source: RNAcentral
AGAGAUCCUGCAGUCCUCGCCCAUACGGAUGGAGGGUGGGAGUAAAUCCCACAUGGCCAUCCAGUUACUGUGAAGAAAUUUAAAGUGUUUAAAGCGGCGAAUGCAUGAAUAGUUUAGCAUGGAAUAACAGAGAGUGAAGGUUCUCUUGUUGGUUCGAGAAUAACCAUUGGAUUAAUAGGAACAGUCGGGGGCAUUAGUAUUUGGUAGUCAGAGGUGAAAUUCUUGGAUUUACCAAAGACUAACGGGAGCGAAAGCGUUUGCCAAGGAUGUAUUUAUUAAUCAAGAACGAAAGUUGAGGGAUCGAAGACGAUCAGAUACCGUCGUAGUCUUAACCAUAAACGAUGCCGACUCGCGAUUGGGGGAGAACCAUGAGGUUACCGCCAGGAGCGUAGGAGAAAUCAAAGUGAAUGGGUUCUGGGGGGAGUAUGGUCGCAAGGCUGAAACUUAAAGGAAUUGACGGAAGGGCACCACCAGGAGUGGAGCCUGCGGCUUAAUUUGACUCAACACGGGGAAACUCACCAGGUCCGGACAUGGGAAGGAUUGACAGAUUGAGAGCGCUUUCAAGAUUCUAUGGGAGGUGGUGCAUGGCCGUUCUUAGUUGGUGGAGUGAUUUGUCAGGUUAAUUCCGAUAACGAACGAGACCUUGGAUAGUGAAUGGGGUGACUCGAGGGAUCGGGUGCGCCUCUCUCACUAUGACUGACUA